Aedes aegypti (yellow fever mosquito) is the source of this 194-nucleotide long non-coding RNA. RefSeq lists it as uncharacterized. The transcript is spliced from 2 exons. The record is from RefSeq and is a predicted model, not a curated record. NCBI's taxonomy places the organism in Eukaryota, Metazoa, Arthropoda, Insecta, Diptera, Culicidae.
GUUGAAUAAAUCUAAAAACUGAUAACCCUAUGCUCAGCUUUUAUUUACAUUUUGAAACGUCAGAAAACUCAUAUCACAACAAACGGCUUCGAUGGUUCAGUUUUCUCUUGAAAGUUGGAAUUUCAGCUAGGAAUUAUCCGAGGAUAAUCGUAAGAAAUGAGGCAGCUGUAGAUUACUAGUUCUACAUUAUUAAA